AAGUCGUAACAAGGUUUCCGUAGGUGAACCUGCGGAAGGAUCAUUAACGAAUGCCCUUCUCGGGCUAUUCAAAAAAUGGCCUCUUCUCUGGCUGUGCGCCGCAAGGCUUGCACGCCGGCGAGGGGGUUGUUCCUUACACACCUGUGCACCUUUAUCAGGCUUGUGGAGGGGUCGCAAGGCCCGCUCCUAGGCUUGCUUCAUUUUAACAUCGUCUCCAGUCUUUGGAUGUCUACUUUAUAAAUUAAAUACAACUUUCAGCAACGGAUCUCUUGGCUCUC
Molecule: unclassified non-coding RNA, 278 nt
Filed under: air metagenome
Description: partial contains small subunit ribosomal RNA, internal transcribed spacer 1, and 5.8S ribosomal RNA
Rfam family: Eukaryotic small subunit ribosomal RNA (bases 1-46)
Source: RNAcentral